RNAcentral lists this ribosomal RNA (465 nucleotides) under uncultured bacterium. Its description in RNAcentral is "partial 16S ribosomal RNA". It matches the Rfam family "Bacterial small subunit ribosomal RNA", at positions 339 to 795 of the family's 1533-position model. The record is from RNAcentral.
CUACGGGGCGCUGCAGUGAGGAAUAUUGCGCAAUGGGGGAAACCCUGACGCAGCGACGCCGCGUGGAUGAUGAAGGCCUUAGGGCCGUAAAAUCCUGUCAGGUGGGAAGAAGUGGAUAUAGAUUAAUACUCUAUUUCUUUGACGGUACCACCAAAGGAAGCACCGGCUAACUCCGUGCCAGCAGCCGCGGUAAUACGGAGGGUGCAAACGUUGUUCGGAAUUACUGGGCGUAAAGCGCGCGUAGGCGGUUUGUUAAGUCAGAUGUGAAAGUCCAUGGCUCAACUACGGAAGUGCAUUUGAAACUGGCAGACUUGAGUACUGGAGGGGGUGAUGGAAUUCCCGGUGUAGAGGUGAAAUUCGUAGAUAUCGGGAGGAAUACCGGUGGCGAAGGCGAUCACCUGGCCAGAUACUGACGCUGAGGUGCGAAAGCGUGGGGAGCAAACAGGAUUAGAUACCCGGGUAGUC